RNAcentral lists this ribosomal RNA (192 nucleotides) under Microphysogobio longidorsalis. RNAcentral describes it as "partial large subunit ribosomal RNA". Lineage: Eukaryota; Metazoa; Chordata; Actinopteri; Cypriniformes; Gobionidae. The record is from RNAcentral.
CUUAAUCACUAAUUUUAACCCAACAAUGUUUAUAAAAAAACAUGACCCACCCCUGAAAAUUAAACCAUUUUUUUGCCUGAGUAUGGGAGACAGAAAAGGCUUACCCAAAGCAAUAGAGAAAGUACCGCAGGGGAAAGCUGAAAGAGAAAUGAAACAACCCAUAUAAGCACCGAAAAACAAAGAUUAAAUCUU